Molecule: non-coding RNA, 83 nt
Organism: Mycena capillaripes
Lineage: Eukaryota; Fungi; Basidiomycota; Agaricomycetes; Agaricales; Mycenaceae
Source: the annotation of a GenBank genome assembly
UCCGAUAUGGUGUAGCGGUAAAAUAUGUGCUUCUCAACUGUUGAGCGUCGCGCGUGCUCGGGGUUCGACUCCCCGUAUCGUGA